RNAcentral lists this non-coding RNA (29 nucleotides) under Mus musculus (house mouse). The record is from RNAcentral. Lineage: Eukaryota; Metazoa; Chordata; Mammalia; Rodentia; Muridae.
UCUGUCUGUGCUGAUGGAAUGGCCAGCUU